This 237-nucleotide ribosomal RNA is filed under the name uncultured soil bacterium. Its description in RNAcentral is "partial 16S ribosomal RNA". It matches the Rfam family "Bacterial small subunit ribosomal RNA", at positions 26 to 265 of the family's 1533-position model. The record is from RNAcentral.
AGAUUGAACGCUGGCGGCAGGCCUAACACAUGCAAGUCGAGCGGUAGAGAGGUGCUUGCACCUCUUGAGAGCGGCGGACGGGUGAGUAGUGCCUAGGAAUCUGCCUAGUGGUGGGGGAUAACGUUCGGAAACGGACGCUAAUACCGCAUACGUCCUACGGGAGAAAGCGGGGGACCUUCGGGCCUCGCGCCAUUAGAUGAGCCUAGGUCGGAUUAGCUAGUUGGUGAGGUAAUGGCU